AUUGAACGCUGGCGGCAGGCCUAACACAUGCAAGUCGAACGGUAACAGGAAGCAGCUUGCUGCUUYGCUGACGAGUGGCGGACGGGUGAGUAAUGUCUGGGAAACUGCCUGAUGGAGGGGGAUAACUACUGGAAACGGUGGCUAAUACCGCAUAACGUCGCAAGACCAAAGAGGGGGACCUUCGGGCCUCUUGCCAUCAGAUGUGCCCAGAUGGGAUUAGCUWGUUGGUGAGGUAACGGCUCACCAAGGCGACGAUCCCUAGCUGGUCUGAGAGGAUGACCAGCCACACUGGAACUGAGACACGGUCCAGACUCCUACGGGAGGCAGCAGUGGGGAAUAUUGCACAAUGGGCGCAAGCCUGAUGCAGCCAUGCCGCGUGUAUGAAGAAGGCCUUCGGGUUGUAAAGUACUUUCAGCGGGGAGGAAGGUGUUGUGGUUAAUAACCGCAGCAAUUGACGUUACCCGCAGAAGAAGCACCGGCUAACUCCGU
Molecule: ribosomal RNA, 489 nt
Filed under: Salmonella enterica subsp. enterica serovar Wandsworth
Lineage: Bacteria; Pseudomonadati; Pseudomonadota; Gammaproteobacteria; Enterobacterales; Enterobacteriaceae
Description: bacterial SSU rRNA
Rfam family: Bacterial small subunit ribosomal RNA
Source: RNAcentral